This 72-nucleotide ribosomal RNA is filed under the name Escherichia coli. RNAcentral describes it as "partial 16S ribosomal RNA". The record is from RNAcentral. Lineage: Bacteria; Pseudomonadati; Pseudomonadota; Gammaproteobacteria; Enterobacterales; Enterobacteriaceae.
UUAAAUUGAAGAGGUUGAACAUGGCUCAGAUUGAACGAUGGCGGCAGGCCGAACACAUGCAAGUCGAACGGU